GAUGAACGCUGGCGGCGUGCCUAAUACAUGCAAGUCGAGCGAACGGACGAGAAGCUUGCUUCUCUGAUGUUAGCGGCGGACGGGUGAGUAACACGUGGAUAACCUACCUAUAAGACUGGGAUAACUUCGGGAAACCGGAGCUAAUACCGGAUAAUAUUUUGAACCGCAUGGUUCAAAAGUGAAAGACGGUCUUGCUGUCACUUAUAGAUGGAUCCGCGCUGCAUUAGCUAGUUGGUAAGGUAACGGCUUACCAAGGCAACGAUGCAUAGCCGACCUGAGAGGGUGAUCGGCCACACUGGAACUGAGACACGGUCCAGACUCCUACGGGAGGCAGCAGUAGGGAAUCUUCCGCAAUGGGCGAAAGCCUGACGGAGCAACGCCGCGUGAGUGAUGAAGGUCUUCGGAUCGUAAAACUCUGUUAUUAGGGAAGAACAUAUGUGUAAGUAACUGUGCACAUCUUGACGGUACCUAAUCAGAAAGCCACGGCUAACUACGUGCCAGCAGCCGCGGUAAUACGUAAGUGGCAAGCGUUAUCCGGAAUUAUUGGGCGUAAAGCGCGCGUAGCGGUUUUUUAAGUCUGAUGUGAAAGCCCACGGCUCAACCGUGGAGGGUCAUUGGAAACUGGAAAACUUGAGUGCAGAAGAGGAAAGUGGAAUUCCAUGUGUAGCGGUGAAAUGCGCAGAGAUAUGGAGGAACACCAGUGGCGAAGGCGACUUUCUGGUCUGUAACUGACGCUGAUGUGCGAAAGCGUGGGGAUCAAACAGGAUUAGAUACCCUGGUAGUCCACGCCGUAAACGAUGAGUGCUAAGUGUUAGGGGGUUUCCGCCCCUUAGUGCUGCAGCUAACGCAUUAAGCACUCCGCCUGGGGAGUACGACCGCAAGGUUGAAACUCAAAGGAAUUGACGGGGACCCGCACAAGCGGUGGAGCAUGUGGUUUAAUUCGAAGCAACGCGAAGAACCUUACCAAAUCUUGACAUCCUUUGACAACUCUAGAGAUAGAGCCUUCCCCUUCGGGGGACAAAGUGACAGGUGGUGCAUGGUUGUCGUCAGCUCGUGUCGUGAGAUGUUGGGUUAAGUCCCGCAACGAGCGCAACCCUUAAGCUUAGUUGCCAUCAUUAAGUUGGGCACUCUAAGUUGACUGCCGGUGACAAACCGGAGGAAGGUGGGGAUGACGUCAAAUCAUCAUGCCCCUUAUGAUUUGGGCUACACACGUGCUACAAUGGACAAUACAAAGGGCAGCGAAACCGCGAGGUCAAGCAAAUCCCAUAAAGUUGUUCUCAGUUCGGAUUGUAGUCUGCAACUCGACUACAUGAAGCUGGAAUCGCUAGUAAUCGUAGAUCAGCAUGCUACGGUGAAUACGUUCCCGGGUCU
RNAcentral lists this ribosomal RNA (1371 nucleotides) under uncultured bacterium. RNAcentral's name for it is "bacterial SSU rRNA". It matches the Rfam family "Bacterial small subunit ribosomal RNA", at positions 28 to 1381 of the family's 1533-position model. The record is from RNAcentral.